GGUGACGUGACUGAGCGGCCGAAAGUGCUCGCCUCGAAAGCGAGUGUAGGGAAACCUACCGUGGGUUCAAAUCCCACCGUCACCGCCA
This 88-nucleotide transfer RNA is filed under the name Parenemella sanctibonifatiensis. RNAcentral describes it as "Propionibacteriaceae bacterium NML 150081 tRNA-Ser". It matches the Rfam family "tRNA". From Rfam's summary of the family: Transfer RNA (tRNA) molecules are approximately 80 nucleotides in length. Their secondary structure includes four short double-helical elements and three loops (D, anti-codon, and T loops). Lineage: Bacteria; Bacillati; Actinomycetota; Actinomycetes; Propionibacteriales; Propionibacteriaceae. The record is from RNAcentral.